GCAGUUUAUUUGGUUCCCUAAAUGAAGGAUAAGUGGCAUGAGGGCAGGGAGCAGAAGCCUAGGGAACAAAAUAGAGCCACAUACAUAACGGAACAUGUCCAGGCUGGCGGCUUCCGUCUCAGGACUCAGUGGUUCCUCGGUAUCUCCCUUUUGUCUGCGUUAGGAACAUAACUUUCUGUGCCCACAGUGGAGGAGCCUGGUUUGGAGAAAGAGACGGGCACAUGAAUUAUAGUUCCAGUUGCACUUUGGAAAUCCACACAGGAGCACGAGAACGUUCCCAAUCUAGUCCAAGGGGCUCAGGAAGCUUCCCCCGGAGGAACGACAGCCUUGAAAGGUUUUCAGAGAGAAAGGCCCGUGGCUCCUGGGACAUUCUCCAAGCGGGUUCCAUGCUCGGGAGAACGAGAUAUUUCUGCGGACACGCCGGCCACCUGCCCUUUCAGACGAAGGCCUCAAAUAAGGCACUCGAGUCCCAAACAUGGUACGUGCCAACGGUGGUGGAAACCGCUUUCCUCAUGGAGCCAGAUUGUCCCCUCGAACUCUUACAAGCUACCAAAACCAGUAUUUUAAGAAACAAUGGAAGCCAGGUCUUACUGCCGGCAUGAAAUACUCUGCGAGGCACCACCCUCAUGGUUAAACCAAAAACAGAAUAAAUGGUUUGCGGCGUCACAAAAAUUCUUUUUCAGUGGCGGGGGC
Molecule: long non-coding RNA, 693 nt
Filed under: Mustela putorius furo (domestic ferret)
Lineage: Eukaryota; Metazoa; Chordata; Mammalia; Carnivora; Mustelidae
Description: lncRNA (ENSMPUG00000025048.1)
Source: RNAcentral